UAGGGAAUCUUCGGCAAUGGGGGGAACCCUGACCGAGCAACGCCGCGUGAGUGAAGAAGGUUUUCGGAUCGUAAAGCUCUGUUGUUAAGGAAGAACGAGUGUGAGAAUGGAAAGUUCAUGCUGUGACGGUACUUAACCAGAAAGGGACGGCUAACUACGUGCCAGCAGCCGCGGUAAUACGUAGGUCCCGAGCGUUGUCCGGAUUUAUUGGGCGUAAAGCGAGCGCAGGCGGUUAGAAAAGUCUGAAGUGAAAGGCAGUGGCUCAACCAUUGUAGGCUUUGGAAACUGUUUAACUUGAGUGCAGAAGGGGAGAGUGGAAUUCAUGUGUAGCGGUGAAAUGCGUAGAUAUAUGGAGGAACACCGGUGGCGAAAGCGGCUCUCUGGUCUGUAACUGACGCGGAGGCUCGAAAGCGUGGGGAGCGAACAGG
RNAcentral lists this ribosomal RNA (428 nucleotides) under Bacteroidota bacterium. Its description in RNAcentral is "Bacteroidetes bacterium partial 16S ribosomal RNA". It matches the Rfam family "Bacterial small subunit ribosomal RNA", at positions 355 to 776 of the family's 1533-position model. The record is from RNAcentral. Lineage: Bacteria; Pseudomonadati; Bacteroidota.